UAUACUUGCAAGUCGAACGAGAAAGCAUCCUUCGGGAUGUGAGUAAAGUGGCGAACGGGUGAGUAACACGUAGGUAACCUGCCUAUGAGUUGGGGAUAACAUGCCUAACGGCGUGCUAAUACCGAAUGAAGCACUGGGAUUAAUUUUCAGUGUUAAAGAUAUCCUUUGGUUAUCGCUCAUAGAUGGGCCUGCGGCUCAUUAGCUAGUUGGCGGGGUAACGGCCCACCAAGGCAACGAUGGGUAGCCGGCCUGAGAGGGUGGUCGGCCACACUGGGACUGAGAUACGGCCCAGACUCCUACGGGAGGCAGCAGUAAGGAAUAUUGCGCAAUGGUCGCAAGACUGACGCAGCAACGCCGCGUGGAUGAUGACGCUCUAUGGAGUGUAAAGUCCUGUUAGAAGGGAAGAACAGUAUGGAGUUAAAGCUUCAUAUAUGACGGUACCUUCAGAGAAAGCCCCGGCUAACUCCGUGCCAGCAGCCGCGGUAAUACGGGGGGGGCAAGCGUUGUCCGGAAUUAC
Molecule: ribosomal RNA, 517 nt
Filed under: uncultured bacterium
Lineage: Bacteria
Description: bacterial SSU rRNA
Rfam family: Bacterial small subunit ribosomal RNA
Source: RNAcentral